UUUAUAAUACCUAUUAAUAAAGUAUAAAUAAUAUAGAGUAUAGGGGGCUAAAUAAAAUUAUACAGGGCAACUGUAACUUACGUGAGCUACUACUUCGGAUCCCAGCUUUUGGCUUCUGCUGCUUUGGUAAAAAGUCCUUUUGCCCACUACCCAUUUUCAGCACUAGCAUGAAGGUUCUAUUCAUGAUGGUGCAUGGUCAUUGGUCAUCGGGAUUUGGUUUGUGGUUGUGGAGAAAAUCUUUUGUCGUCGUUUCCAUUUUUGGAUUGAGUUAGGGUCAUCAUUGGACGAAGAACGACCCUACUGCAAAUUAUUAAUUGAUAUCCGAACUUCAGAUGUA
Molecule: long non-coding RNA, 337 nt
Filed under: Citrus x clementina
Lineage: Eukaryota; Viridiplantae; Streptophyta; Magnoliopsida; Sapindales; Rutaceae
Description: Citrus clementina (C. clementina) long non-coding RNA (CCLE_LNC005654)
Source: RNAcentral